This 299-nucleotide unclassified non-coding RNA is filed under the name Peniophorella praetermissa. RNAcentral's name for it is "partial contains 5.8S ribosomal RNA, internal transcribed spacer 2, and large subunit ribosomal RNA". The record is from RNAcentral. Lineage: Eukaryota; Fungi; Basidiomycota; Agaricomycetes; Hymenochaetales.
CGCACCUUGCGCUCUUGGGCUAUUCCUAAGAGCAUGCCUGUUUGAGUGUCGUGAACUCCUCAACCCUGGAUGGAUUUUGAAUCUGACCAGUGGCUUGGAUUUGGGGGUUUGCAGGCCGUUUUGAUUCGGUCUGCUCCCCUUGAAUGUAUUAGCUUGGACUUGUUACUGAGGCUGCACAGCGUGAUAACUAUCUACGCUUUCAUGUCUUUGAAACAUUGUUGGGUCUGGCUUCUAAUAGUCCUCUGGACAACAUUUCAAUCUUUGACCUCAAAUCAGGUAGGACUACCCGCUGAACUUAA